RNAcentral lists this long non-coding RNA (277 nucleotides) under Zostera marina. Its description in RNAcentral is "long non-coding RNA (ZMAR_LNC000671)". The record is from RNAcentral. Lineage: Eukaryota; Viridiplantae; Streptophyta; Magnoliopsida; Alismatales; Zosteraceae.
CGUCCGUCCGUCCGUCGUCCGUCGUCCGUCCGUCGUCCGUCCGUCGUCCGUCGUCCGUCCGUCGUCCGUCCGUCCGUCGUCCGUCCGUCGUCCGUCCGUCGUCCGUCCGUCCGUCCGUCCGUCGUCGUCCGUCCUUCCGUCGUCCGUCGUCCGUCCGUCGUCCGUCGUCCGUCGUCCGUCCGUCGUCCGUCGUCCGUCCGUCGUCCGUCCGUCGUCCGUCCGUCGUCCGUCCGUCGUCCGUCCGUCGUCCGUCCGUCCGUCCGUCCGUCGUCCGUCG